RNAcentral lists this ribosomal RNA (252 nucleotides) under uncultured bacterium. Its description in RNAcentral is "partial 16S ribosomal RNA". It matches the Rfam family "Bacterial small subunit ribosomal RNA", at positions 524 to 773 of the family's 1533-position model. The record is from RNAcentral.
UACGGAGGGGGCAAGCGUUGUCCGGACUUACUGGGCGUAAAGGGUGCGUAGGCGGCCUGCUGCGUCGGUGCUGAAAGCGCCCGGCUUAACCGGGCGAGGCGUGCCGAUACGAGCGGGCUGGAGCCUUGGCGAGGGUGGCGGAACUCCUGGUGUAGUGGUGAAAUGCGUAGAGAUCAGGAAGAACACCCGUGGCGCAAGCGGCCACCUGGCCAAGAGCUGACCGCUGAAGGCACGAGAGCGUGGGGAGCGAAC